AGGAUGAACGCUGGCGGCGUGCCUAACACAUGCAAGUCGAACGUCCUGUCUCGCAAGAGGCAGGGAGUGGCGGACGGGUGAGUACCACGUGGGUUAUCUACCGUGAGGUGAGGAAUACCGGCGAGAAAUCGCCGACAAGACCGCAUAGGCUCGAUGCAAGUCGAGCAAAGCUCGCUCGCAAGAGGGAGCGCCACACGAGGAGCCUGCGCCCGAUUAGCUGGCUGGUGGAGUAAUGGUUCACCAGGGCGACGAUCGGUAGCUGGUCUGAGAGGACGAUCAGCCACACUGGGAUUGAGAACGGCCCAGACUCCUACGGGGGGCAGCAGUGAGGAAUUUUCGUCAAUGGGGGCAACCCUGAACGAGCAACGCCGCGUGCAGGAAGAAGGUUUUCGGAUCGUAAACUGCUUUUCUCGGGGAAGAGAACGGACGGUACCCGAGGAAGAAGCCCGGCUAACUACGCGCCAGCAGCCGCGGU
RNAcentral lists this ribosomal RNA (475 nucleotides) under uncultured bacterium. RNAcentral describes it as "SSU rRNA". It matches the Rfam family "Bacterial small subunit ribosomal RNA", at positions 26 to 521 of the family's 1533-position model. The record is from RNAcentral.